This 519-nucleotide ribosomal RNA is filed under the name Sagittula sp. FG3. RNAcentral's name for it is "bacterial SSU rRNA". It matches the Rfam family "Bacterial small subunit ribosomal RNA", at positions 958 to 1498 of the family's 1533-position model. Lineage: Bacteria; Pseudomonadati; Pseudomonadota; Alphaproteobacteria; Rhodobacterales; Roseobacteraceae. The record is from RNAcentral.
AACGCGAAGAACCUUACCAACCCUUGACAUCCUAGGACAACUCCAGAGAUGGAGCCUUCCUUCGGGACCUAGUGACAGGUGCUGCAUGGCUGUCGUCAGCUCGUGUCGUGAGAUGUUCGGUUAAGUCCGGCAACGAGCGCAACCCACAUCCUUAGUUGCCAGCAGUUCGGCUGGGCACUCUAGGGAAACUGCCCGUGAUAAGCGGGAGGAAGGUGUGGAUGACGUCAAGUCCUCAUGGCCCUUACGGGUUGGGCUACACACGUGCUACAAUGGCAGUGACAAUGGGUUAAUCCCCAAAAACUGUCUCAGUUCGGAUUGGGGUCUGCAACUCGACCCCAUGAAGUCGGAAUCGCUAGUAAUCGCGUAACAGCAUGACGCGGUGAAUACGUUCCCGGGCCUUGUACACACCGCCCGUCACACCAUGGGAGUUGGUUCUACCCGACGGCCGUGCGCUAACCUCUCUGAGGAGGCAGCGGACCACGGUAGGAUCAGCGACUGGGGUGAAGUCGUAACAAGGUA